GAGGGUAUAGUUCAGUGGCAAAGCAUGUGCUUGGCAUGCACAAGGUCCUGGGUUCAACGCCCAGUACCUCCA
Camelus ferus (Wild Bactrian camel) is the source of this 72-nucleotide transfer RNA. It matches the Rfam family "tRNA". Rfam says of the family: Transfer RNA (tRNA) molecules are approximately 80 nucleotides in length. Their secondary structure includes four short double-helical elements and three loops (D, anti-codon, and T loops). The record is from Rfam. Lineage: Eukaryota; Metazoa; Chordata; Mammalia; Artiodactyla; Camelidae.